Molecule: long non-coding RNA, 296 nt
Organism: Symphalangus syndactylus (siamang)
Lineage: Eukaryota; Metazoa; Chordata; Mammalia; Primates; Hylobatidae
Source: RefSeq, a predicted model, not a curated record
AGCACAUUUUCCCAGUCAUGAUCUCUAUCUUGAAGAGUAUAAUUUAAUGAAGAAUAUUCUGUCAUCCUUUGAAGUUUAACUGAAUAUGCAAGUAACCAAAAACCAAGCUUUGAGUAGAAGGUUUAUUCAGCCAGCCUUUGAGUUGAAAGAGGAAGGAGCAUCCUUCCUGCAUUUUUGGAAGAGGGAGGAGGAGAAAUGCCAUCAAGUCUCUAUAUCUAAUGAGAUGACAUCUAUUUUGCAUGUUUGCGAGAAUUAAACGAUGCAAUGAAGAUAAAUUUUCUGGAACACGGUAGGAG